RNAcentral lists this ribosomal RNA (1060 nucleotides) under uncultured bacterium. RNAcentral describes it as "bacterial SSU rRNA". It matches the Rfam family "Bacterial small subunit ribosomal RNA", at positions 10 to 1064 of the family's 1533-position model. The record is from RNAcentral.
AGUUUGAUCCUGGCUCAGAUUGAACGCUGGCGGCAUGCCUUACACAUGCAAGUCGAACGGCAGCACGGGGGCAACCCUGGUGGCGAGUGGCGAACGGGUGAGUAAUAUAUCGGAACGUACCCUAGAGUGGGGGAUAACGUAGCGAAAGUUACGCUAAUACCGCAUACGAUCUACGGAUGAAAGCAGGGGACCGCAAGGCCUUGCGCUCAUGGAGCGGCCGAUAUCUGAUUAGCUAGUUGGUAGGGUAAAAGCCUACCAAGGCAUCGAUCAGUAGCUGGUCUGAGAGGACGACCAGCCACACUGGGACUGAGACACGGCCCAGACUCCUACGGGAGGCAGCAGUGGGGAAUUUUGGACAAUGGGGGCAACCCUGAUCCAGCAAUGCCGCGUGAGUGAAGAAGGCCUUCGGGUUGUAAAGCUCUUUUGUCAGGGAAGAAACGGUGAGUUCUAAUAUAGCUUACUAAUGACGGUACCUGAAGAAUAAGCACCGGCUAACUACGUGCCAGCAGCCGCGGUAAUACGUAGGGUGCAAGCGUUAAUCGGAAUUACUGGGCGUAAAGCGUGCGCAGGCGGUUAUGUAAGACAGAUGUGAAAUGCCCGGGCUCAACCUGGGAACUGCAUUUGUGACUGCAUGGCUAGAGUGUGUCAGAGGGGGGUAGAAUUCCACGUGUAGCAGUGAAAUGCGUAGAUAUGUGGAGGAAUACCGAUGGCGAAGGCAGCCCCCUGGGAUGCCACUGACGCUCAUGCACGAAAGCGUGGGGAGCAAACAGGAUUAGAUACCCUGGUAGUCCACGCCCUAAACGAUGUCUACUAGUUGUUGGGUCUUAAUUGACUUAGUAACGCAGCUAACGCGUGAAGUAGACCGCCUGGGGAGUACGGUCGCAAGAUUAAAACUCAAAGGAAUUGACGGGGACCCGCACAAGCGGUGGAUGAUGUGGAUUAAUUCGAUGCAACGCGAAAAACCUUACCUACCCUUGACAUGUACGGAAGAUUUCAGAGAUGAGAUUGUGCUCGCAAGAGAACCGUAACACAGGUGCUGCAUGGCUGUCGUCAGCUCGUG